Molecule: ribosomal RNA, 253 nt
Filed under: uncultured bacterium
Lineage: Bacteria
Description: partial 16S ribosomal RNA
Rfam family: Bacterial small subunit ribosomal RNA
Source: RNAcentral
UACGGAGGUGGCAAGCGUUGCUCGGAAUCACUGGGCGUAAAGGGUGCGUAGGCGGCGCGGUAAGUCGGGUGUGAAAUCUCGGAGCUUAACUCCGAAACUGCAUUCGAUACUGCCGUGCUUGAGGACUGGAGAGGAGACUGGAAUUUACGGUGUAGCGGUGAAAUGCGUAGAUAUCGUAAGGAAGACCAGUGGCGAAGGCGGGUCUCUGGGCCGAUACUGACGCUGAGGAGCGAAAGCGUGGGGAGCGAACAGG